Lotus japonicus is the source of this 699-nucleotide long non-coding RNA. RefSeq lists it as uncharacterized. Lineage: Eukaryota; Viridiplantae; Streptophyta; Magnoliopsida; Fabales; Fabaceae. The record is from RefSeq and is a predicted model, not a curated record. The transcript has 2 exons.
GCGGGAUUAUUACAUUGUUUUUCUUCUAAGUCCGAAUUUAAUUAUGAAUUUACCUUUGAGGGCUUAGGUUUUAGUAAGUUUCAGGUCUGAUUAGGUAAUUAGACUGGUGGGUUAAGGUUGGACUUGGGUCGGGCUUGUGGAAAAACAAAACCCUAGCCCACUUGUGGGUUGCAUGUGAUUUUAGCCAAGGGGGGAAACCCUAUUCUUCCACAAUCAGAAAACAGAGAUACACUACAGCACCUUCACGUGAAAAACAAAGAGAGAACGUGUAAGAGAAGAGAAGGGAGCCGCCGCCCAAGCCACCACCAUUGUCGCCGGUCACGCACGCGAGCAAGGGAGAGAACGCGAGUAGAGAGGGAUUCGCGAGGGAGAGGAAAUAGAGAACGAGGACAGCAGCUUUUGAACCUUCUUUCCAUCUCCAAACUUCUGUUUUUCCAUCACCAAACAAGAUGGUCGUGAAGAUAAUGGCGAUGACUCAUUCUUGGGAGUUGAUGCUACGUGACGUGCCAAUACUGGAGGACGACUACACUUCAGAGGAAGAGGAAGAGGCUAAGGAAUAGGGUUUGGGUUGAGAGUCUUUUGUUUUCUGUUGGGGUUGAGAGUUUCCGAAGUGUUGGUAUCGAACAAUUUUAUUGCUUAAAUUCGAAUGAACAAGUUUUGAUGUAAUCUUUAUUUUCAUUCAGGCCUUUGUUUCGUACU